CACGUAGUUAGCCGGGGCUUCUUAGUCAGGUACCGUCUUUUUCUUCCCUGCUGAUAGAGCUUUACAUACCGAAAUACUUCUUCACUCACGCGGCGUCGCUGCAUCAGGGUUUCCCCCAUUGUGCAAUAUUCCCCACUGCUGCCUCCCGUAGGAGUUUGGGCCGUGUCUCAGUCCCAAUGUGGCCGUUCACCCUCUCAGGCCGGCUACUGAUCGUCGCCUUGGUAGGCCGUUACCCCACCAACCAGCUAAUCAGACGCGGGCUCAUCUUAUACUACCGGAGUUUUUCACACAGAAACAUGCGUUCCCGUGCGCUUAUGCGGUAUUAGCAGUCAUUUCUAACUGUUAUCCCCCUGUAUAAGGCAGAUUACCCACGUGUUACUCACCCGUCCGCCGCUAAGUCAAUUUCGAUUCCAUCCGAAAACUUCCUCAAAAUCGCUUCGCUCGACUUGCAUGUGUUAGGCACGCCGCCAGCGUUCAUCCUGAGCCAGGAUCAAACUCU
RNAcentral lists this ribosomal RNA (499 nucleotides) under uncultured Lachnospiraceae bacterium. RNAcentral's name for it is "partial 16S ribosomal RNA". The record is from RNAcentral. Lineage: Bacteria; Bacillati; Bacillota; Clostridia; Lachnospirales; Lachnospiraceae.